RNAcentral lists this unclassified non-coding RNA (610 nucleotides) under Hevea brasiliensis (rubber tree). The record is from RNAcentral. Lineage: Eukaryota; Viridiplantae; Streptophyta; Magnoliopsida; Malpighiales; Euphorbiaceae.
CGCAAAUUUUCUCGGGAAAAUAUUCGUCUUUUUAAGUAGGUGAAGGAGGUGUGACUAGUUCUAUUUAGAUCUGUGAAACUUGACUUCGCUUUUUCGUAGCUGGAACUAAAUGAAGCUGUUGUUUCUAAUGGGUUAGUUUUCAAUCAGUUGUACAAAGUAUGUGCUGUGGAUGGGAGCGGUUGAAGCUCACACCAACUAGGAUACUGCCUCUGAUUUCUUCUGAAGAAAGUAGACCAACCAACAUAGACAUGAAUCACAUAUCUGUCGAGACUGAAGAUACUUUUGCAAGCUUACUUGAGCUUGCAGCCAACAAUGAUGCUGAGGGCUUUAAGAGAUCAAAGAGAUCAAUUGAGCGUGACCCUGUGUGUGUUGAUGAGAUUGGAAUAUGGUAUAGUCGUCAGAAAGGCUCCAAGCAGAUGGUUAACCAGCAUAGAACCCCAUUGAUGGUCGCCGCAACUUAUGGUGCUGUUGAUGUUAUAAGGAUCAUUCUUUCUCUUUCAGAUGCUGAUGUCAAUCGAUCUUGUGGCCUAGAUAAGAGCACUGCCCUUCAUUGUGCUGCCUCAGGUGGGGCAGUGAAUGCUGUUGAUGCUGUGAAACUGCUUUUAGCAGC